AUUCAGUGGCCAUCUAUAGCAGUGCUAAAAUGCGCGGAUAGACUGGAGCGAAUAAACAAAUCGGCACUUGAAGUAUUCGUGCAGCUUUGCAGUGAGAUGUUCUAAUAAAAACAGGUCUUAUCUCAAAACCUAUUGAGUUUGGGUCGAGUUGGAGUACAAGUCAAGUGAAUGGUUCGAAAGUUCGAAAAGUCUAAGUUGGUGUUUUAAAACAAUUACCAUGGGAAGAAAUGGAUUUCAGUUCUAGGGGUACGACUACUAUCCUUUCGUUGGGGGCCUUCGGAGGAAGCAGGAAAUGAACCAGGACCUUGGCUAUCUACUUCCGCCAAUCUAUGGUGAAAAGUAUGGUGGAAGCCAAAAUACGAGCAACUAUGUAGUGCUUUGGAGUUGUCUGUGUUUCAGAAAGGUGAAAAUUGUGCUCUAUAUGUUCUGAGAACGAGGGUGCGCGCCAAAACUCACAGCAUUGACAAAGACUCCUUGAUGGAUGUCGAAAGCUCUGUUGUUCGCUGGUGAGUAAGCAAAA
Actinia tenebrosa (Australian red waratah sea anemone) is the source of this 520-nucleotide long non-coding RNA. The record is from RefSeq and is a predicted model, not a curated record. NCBI's taxonomy places the organism in Eukaryota, Metazoa, Cnidaria, Anthozoa, Actiniaria, Actiniidae.